CACCUCACUUUGGUCCUUCAAUUAUUAGACACUCAUAAAUUCUUUGUUAAGGAAUCAAAAUGUGUGUUUGCCACAACCAGAGUCUCAUACCUAGGUCAUCUUUUGGAAGAAGGCAUAGUGGCUCCAGAUCCGGAUAAAAUAAAGGCUAUCAUACUUUGGCCUAAACCUACAUCCCUUACUACCCUACGUGCGUUUCUGGGUAUUACGGGAUUUUAUCGGAAGUUCAUCCGCAGUUAUGCCACUCUUGCCUCGCCACUCACGGAGUUACUCAAAUCAUCAACAUUUACAUGGAAUACAAAUGCAGAGGAAGCCUUUACAAAAUUGAAAAAUAUCCUAACUACAGCUCCGAUGUUGAAUCUUCUGAAUUUCGCCAUACCGUUCGUGGUAGAAAUCGACGCCUCCAACAUAGCAAUUGGAGUUGUGCUACCCUAAUAAGGUCACCCUAUUGCUUUCUUCAGCAAGAAGCUUUGCCCAAAAAUGCAAACUAGCUCAACAUAUGUCAAGGAAAUGCUAGCUAUAACAGAAGCUGUAAAAAAGUGGCGUCAUUAUCUCAUAGGUACACAUUUCACAGUAAUAACAGACCAACAAAGCUUAAAGGGGUUACUCACCAAUGCAUGCCACACACCGGAACAACAAAAGUGGGCUACCAAGCUGCUUGGAUACAGUUUUGACAUUCGAUACCGCCCAGGCCGCCAAAAUCAAGCUGUUGAUUUCUUGUCCUGGCCACCCCAAUCUCUCCUUUUUGCCAUAUCUUCCCCGAUUCCGAACAUGUUAAAGGAAUUACAGGAUUAUUACGAGACGAAAAGGGGAGAAGAAGAGGUUCACAGAUUAAUUUCAUUACCUGACACCAAUUACAGUUUUCACCACGACCUUCUAUACCAUGCUCAAAGAUUAUACGUUCCUUCCAUAGAGCACAUUCGUUCGGCCAUACUCCAUGAGUUCCAUGCUUCUCCCACCGCCAGCCACUCGGGCAUUAAGGCCACCAUGGCCAGGCUCGCGACCUCUUUUUUCUGGCCUGGUAUGUACCAUGACACCAAAAGGUAUAUCAAGGAAUGCUUACCCUGCCAACAAAACAAAUCAUUACAUCAGAAACCUUUUGGACUACUCCAACCCAUACCCAUACCAACCAAACUGUUGAAAGAACUAACUACAGAUUUCAUCACGCACCUACCUUCAUCUUUAGGGCACAUGGUCAUCUAGGUUGUUUGUGACAGACUCUCCAAAUCAGCCCACUUCAUCGCCCUUCCCACAUCCUUCACAGUCACCCAUUUAGCUUACCGCUUUCUAUUGAAAUUUGCAGGUUACAUGGAGUCCCUAAAUCCAUCAUUUCAGACCGUGAUCCAGUGUUCCAGAGCCGUUUUUGGAAGGAGUUGUUUCAUCUACAAGGCACAAAAUUAAAGUUCAGUACAACAUAUCACCCCCAAAUCGACGGUCAAACCGAAGUUAUAAAUCCCUGUUUAGAAGCUUACCUUAGGUGUUUUACCAGCGAAAACCCCCGAACAUGGUAUCGCUAUCUCUACCUUGCGGAGUUUUGGUACAACUCCUUAUACCACUCGACCAUCAAAACUACACCCUUCCAGGCUCUGUAUGGAUGUUCACCUCCUUCCAUUCCAGAUUACGUUCCAAGAACUGUCGCAUAACCAACACUGGACACCACGCUACAGGAUCGUGCACGAAUGCUGCACCAGUUAAAAGCCACGCUGAAAGCAACACAACAAAGAAUGGCGGAAUCAACAAACAGAUCAAGACGUGAUUACAAUAUUAGGGAAAAGGACUGGAUACUGCUCCGACGACAAGCUUAUCGCCAAACAUCACUCUCUUCCAAGACUCACAAUAAGCUUGGACAAAGGUACUUCGGUCCCUAUCCCGUUAAACGCCGCAUCGGUGAAGUGGCAUAUGAACUUUUCCUUCCUCCGUCAUCACAUAUCCAUCCAGUCUUCCACAUCUCCCUUCUCAAAUCUUAUCACGACCCAACCCCACUGUCGCAUUUCCAAUUCCCUCUCGAAACAGAGAACCCAACAGUACCAACCCAUGACCUCCCAACUCUCUUCCCAAACUAUACUUCACAUUCUGAGACUUCCAAUACUCCUUCUAACUCAUUACACACGAACCCAACUAAAGCACCCACAAAAUUCGCAUCUGCAGACACGUGGAAACCAUCUACGAUCCAC
This 2171-nucleotide long non-coding RNA is filed under the name Phaseolus vulgaris (common bean). RNAcentral describes it as "long non-coding RNA (PVUL_LNC001531)". Lineage: Eukaryota; Viridiplantae; Streptophyta; Magnoliopsida; Fabales; Fabaceae. The record is from RNAcentral.